UCUACCCUGCCGUGCUCGUGAUCCGCACGAGUUUUGAGCCAACACCCACACGAAGGGCAUCGAUAUCGUAGCAGUGACGCAUUAGGAUUCGUCCAAAGCGGAGGUGCUAGGGAGAUGACCCACCUGCGAAAGCAGGUUCAAAACGUCGCGGCACACGGCAUGGCGGGUAGUC
This 172-nucleotide non-coding RNA is filed under the name Chloroflexota bacterium. RNAcentral's name for it is "Chloroflexi bacterium 6S RNA". It matches the Rfam family "6S / SsrS RNA". From Rfam's summary of the family: E. coli 6S RNA was the first non coding RNA to be sequenced, but its function was unknown until recently. It consists of 184 nucleotides that fold into an extended hairpin structure with a large single-stranded internal bulge. Lineage: Bacteria; Bacillati; Chloroflexota. The record is from RNAcentral.